GCGGGUAUGGCGUAAUUGGCAGCCGCGCCAGACUUAGGAUCUGGUGGAGAAAUCCGUGAAGGUUCGAGUCCUUUUACCCGCA
This 82-nucleotide transfer RNA is filed under the name Bacteroidaceae bacterium. RNAcentral describes it as "tRNA-Leu". It matches the Rfam family "tRNA". From Rfam's summary of the family: Transfer RNA (tRNA) molecules are approximately 80 nucleotides in length. Their secondary structure includes four short double-helical elements and three loops (D, anti-codon, and T loops). Further hydrogen bonds mediate the characteristic L-shaped molecular structure. tRNAs have two regions of fundamental functional importance: the anti-codon, which is responsible for specific mRNA codon recognition, and the 3' end, to which the tRNAs corresponding amino acid is attached (by aminoacyl-tRNA synthetases). tRNAs cope with the degeneracy of the genetic code in two manners: having more than one tRNA (with a specific anti-codon) for a particular amino acid; and 'wobble' base-pairing, i.e. permitting non-standard base-pairing at the 3rd anti-codon position. RNAcentral also lists the same sequence under 1 other name. Lineage: Bacteria; Pseudomonadati; Bacteroidota; Bacteroidia; Bacteroidales; Bacteroidaceae. The record is from RNAcentral.